This 329-nucleotide unclassified non-coding RNA is filed under the name soil metagenome. Its description in RNAcentral is "partial contains 5.8S ribosomal RNA, internal transcribed spacer 2, and large subunit ribosomal RNA". The stretch from base 1 to 120 matches the Rfam family "5.8S ribosomal RNA", at positions 35 to 154 of the family's 154-position model. The record is from RNAcentral.
GAUGAAGAACGCAGCGAAAUGCGAUACGUAAUGUGAAUUGCAGAAUUCAGUGAAUCAUCGAGUCUUUGAACGCACAUUGCGCCCCCUGGUAUUCCGGGGGGCAUGCCUGUCCGAGCGUCAUUUCACCACUCAAGCCUGGCUUGGUGUUGGGCGACGUCCCCUUUAGGGACGCGCCUCGAAACGCUCGGCGGCGCGGCACCGGCUUUAAGCGUAGCAGAAUCUUUCGCUUUGGAAGUCGGGGCCCCGCCUGCCGGAAUACCUACUUGUAAGGUUGACCUCGGAUCAGGCAGGGAUACCCGCUGAACUUAAGCAUAUCAAUAAGCGGAGGA